RNAcentral lists this ribosomal RNA (550 nucleotides) under uncultured bacterium. RNAcentral's name for it is "bacterial SSU rRNA". It matches the Rfam family "Bacterial small subunit ribosomal RNA", at positions 356 to 896 of the family's 1533-position model. The record is from RNAcentral.
GGGGAAUCUUCCGCAAUGGACGAAAGUCUGACCGAGCAACGCCGCGUGAGUGAAGAAGGUUUUCGGAUCGUAAAGCUCUGUUGUAAGAGAAGAACGAGUGUGAGAGUGGAAAGUUCACACUGUGACGGUAUCUUACCAGAAAGGGACGGCUAACUACGUGCCAGCAGCCGCGGUAAUACGUAGGUCCCGAGCGUUGUCCGGAAUCAUUGGGCGUAAAGGGAGCGCAGGCGGGCGUGUAAGUCUUUCUUAAAAGUGCGGGGCUCAACCCCCGUGAUGGGAAAGAAACUACAUGUCUUGAGUACAGGAGAGGAAAGCGGAAUUCCCAGUGUAGCGGUGAAAUGCGUAGAUAUUGGGAGGAACACCAGUGGCGAAGGCGGCUUUCUGGACUGCAACUGACGCUGAGGCUCGAAAGCCAGGGGAGCGAACGGGAUUAGAUACCCCGGUAGUCCUGGCCGUAAACGAUGGAUACUAGGUGUGGGAGGUAUCGACCCCUACCGUGCCGGAGUUAACGCAAUAAGUAUCCCGCCUGGGGAGUACGGCCGCAAGGCUG